Long non-coding RNA from Micropterus dolomieu (smallmouth bass), 632 nucleotides. RefSeq lists it as uncharacterized. The record is from RefSeq and is a predicted model, not a curated record. The transcript is spliced from 2 exons. NCBI's taxonomy places the organism in Eukaryota, Metazoa, Chordata, Actinopteri, Centrarchiformes, Centrarchidae.
UUUAACACGUGUUAUCACACUCCAAACUUUUGAUAAAACUUGAGAGCUCUGGUAACGUUAACUAUUAGUUUUUAUGUAAGUUAGAGUUGUAAAUUAUCUCCGUGGUGCAACUGUUUUUAUUUCGGUAAUGCAUAAAACACAUUAGUAAUAAUUUACACUAGGCUAAGUUUGAACUCACAGCUGCUCGAACAGGCUGCUCAUCACCUCCUCUGUAAAUUACUGAAGUUACUAACCAUUUCACAAAGAGGACCAGUGACAUAACAAACCAGGAUUCACUUCAGGACUGAAAGACAGUGAUGGGGUGAAGCCGACUUCAAACUUGGAACAUAUCAUCUGAGUGACAUGGUGAUGUUCACGUUUGAUGAGAUAUUCCUCGACCCACCACAUUCUACUCAGUCUGAAAACUCAGGAGGACGAUAUUACUGGGCAGACGUCAUGCUUCAGUCUAGCACCUGAAGUGAAGACAACACAGUGGCCAGCAGCAGCAGAAAGUCUUUGUACCCACAGGAAGACGUCUCAGGAUGACCACUGUGAUCUGAGCUCCGUUACCAGCCGGCACAUCUCCAAUAUACAAGAAACCCUCGAUUUGUGUUUCCAUUUCAUUGGCUAUGAAUAAAGUGAUAUAUUUUUAA